UUACGCCUCUGGACAGAACUUAACUUCUGGUCUCGGUUUGUUUAACGGUCAGACUAGUGGCUAAACUUUUACAGUUACUAUUACAAACCAGAAGACUACAAGACUGUAUGACGACGGAAAAAAACAGUUUCCACGGCGAUUAGAGGGGAGGAGAAAAGACUGUGCCAAACCCAGACAAAGGGAGGGGUGCAGGGAGGUAAACACAGAACGAGAGGUCCCGACUGACAAGACUGUGAGGUUCUGGAGAAGCUCCAAAGCUCAUUCCAAAAGACUCGUUACACAGGAAAACUGAAAACUUAUCCAAAUUACAACAUGACUGUACAGCUGUACACUUUAACAACAACUGCAUGAGAGGAGAAAACUGAAAUUGGACACAAGUUCAUGUGAGGAGCGUUAUUUUAGGAGACCCCAUAAACUACAGGAACACAGUCAGAAUGAGCGCUUCAGAUGAUAUGAUGAAAGUCCUUCAGCAAAUCUGGAGCAAACUGCAGGGUUUUUCUCAAGACCACCCGCUCAUGCAGGCGGCCUUUCUGAUCAUGCUGCUCUUCUUCUUAACGUUCAUAACUCUGAUGGUGAUUGGAUGUCUUUAUGGUCGCUGUGGCUGUUGUCAAGGAACCAGAAACCGAGUGUCCGUCAUCUGAUCGGCCCGUUUUCAGUCAACGAAACAUGAAGAUCAAGAACACAGUGGGCCAAAAUAAAGAACAAAUUGAUGAAAUUCAAUGUUUUUUUAUUGUGUGAUAGCACACAUUACAGUGAUAAUAACCAGCCAAUAAAGGAGGUUGUGUACAGGAUGAAUACACGAAACAACGGUGAUGAUGGAAUUCAGAAGAGACUUUCAAAUGUGGACACAAGCAACUACUGAGAAAUCACUUUCGUAUGGAUAUAGUACAAAUGCUGGCUACACUUAAAACCUUUCCCACGGUGUUGAAUAACACAGCAUGCUGUAAGUAAAUCACUAUAAGAAGAGUGCUCAUGUCUGCCGCCUGGUGUUUGCUUACAAUACUGCAGUCAUUUUAGAAGAUUUACAGCAAUGGGAAUCAAGGAAAGAGUUCAGCCUUUUUUCAUCUUAUAGGGGCGGUUUCACGGAUAGGGCUUAUCCUAGUCCCAGACUAAAAUGCGUGUUUGUGCUGCCUUCAUUUAAAAACACCUUGACCUCUUAACAAUGCCAUUGUUUUAUCUCAAGAUGCACAGCAGUGCGAUUUGUUUGUAAAAAACUACUUUAAUGUCCUAUAACUAAAGCCUAGUCCUGGAUUAUCUAAACCCUGUCCGGGAAACCGCCCCUAGAUCUCAUUUUCUAAAAAAUAGUUGAAAUAUAGCCUUGAUACCAGUAUCAAACAGUGAAUAUGUAUGUAAGAGAUGGAAGAGAUGUGAUAUAUCAUGCAAUUUUGUUUGUUUGAUUGUUCUUAAUGCAAUGCCUCCUUUAUUUGUCUAUUUGCAUGGUGAAGUUUAGGUUAAAAAUAAACUCUACGAAAUGUAUAAGAAACUUAUACUGGACAGACUAUGUAUAAUUAUAUUACAGUAUUUAAAAGUAAAUGUAUUUGUUGCAUAUAAAGUGAUGUAAGCAAGAUUCAAGUGUAGCUCGUGUGUGAACUCACCCUUCUUGUUCACAAAAUGCAACCAUAGCAUCAAAGUCCAGGAUGGGAGCUUUAUCCUGCUCUUUCUCGGAUCCUCGUUUCUCCUGUAAAUACAUUUUUAAAUAUUAACUUCAUUAAAUAAUAAAAUACAUGGAUUUUUACUGGAACUAAAGAUGCGUUUACAACAAGAGUAGAGCACCAUUGUAAUUCAAAAUAAAAUGUUUACUUUAUACGCUUUGCCAUACAUCUUAAAUAAAAUGUGCAAAUCAUGA
Misgurnus anguillicaudatus (oriental weatherfish) is the source of this 1846-nucleotide non-coding RNA. The record is from RefSeq and is a predicted model, not a curated record. Lineage: Eukaryota; Metazoa; Chordata; Actinopteri; Cypriniformes; Cobitidae.